This 301-nucleotide ribosomal RNA is filed under the name uncultured bacterium. RNAcentral's name for it is "partial 16S ribosomal RNA". It matches the Rfam family "Bacterial small subunit ribosomal RNA", at positions 509 to 808 of the family's 1533-position model. The record is from RNAcentral.
CAGCCGCCGGCGGUAAUACGGAGGGUGCAAGCGUUAAUCGGAAUUACUGGGCGUAAAGCGCACGCAGGCGGUUUGUUAAGUCAGAUGUGAAAUCCCCGAGCUUAACUUGGGAAUGGCAAUGGAUACUGGCAAGCUAGAGUGUGUCAGAGGAUGGUGGAAUUCCCGGUGUAGCGGUGAAAUGCGUAGAGAUCGGGAGGAACAUCAGUGGCGAAGGCGGCCAUCUGGGACAACACUGACGCUGAGGCACGAAAGCGUGGGGAGCAAACAGGAUUAGAGACCCCAGUAGUCCCUGUCUCUUAUA